This 465-nucleotide ribosomal RNA is filed under the name Vreelandella stevensii. RNAcentral's name for it is "partial 16S ribosomal RNA". It matches the Rfam family "Bacterial small subunit ribosomal RNA", at positions 338 to 795 of the family's 1533-position model. Lineage: Bacteria; Pseudomonadati; Pseudomonadota; Gammaproteobacteria; Oceanospirillales; Halomonadaceae. The record is from RNAcentral.
CCUACGGGGGGCUGCAGUGGGGAAUAUUGGACAAUGGGGGGAACCCUGAUCCAGCCAUGCCGCGUGUGUGAAGAAGGCCCUCGGGUUGUAAAGCACUUUCAGUGAGGAAGAACGCCUGGUGGUUAAUACCCAUCAGGAAAGACAUCACUCACAGAAGAAGCACCGGCUAACUCCGUGCCAGCAGCCGCGGUAAUACGGAGGGUGCGAGCGUUAAUCGGAAUUACUGGGCGUAAAGCGCGCGUAGGUGGCUUGAUAAGUCGGUUGUGAAAGCCCCGGGCUCAACCUGGGAACGGCAUCCGGAACUGUCAAGCUAGAGUGCAGGAGAGGAAGGUAGAAUUCCCGGUGUAGCGGUGAAAUGCGUAGAGAUCGGGAGGAAUACCAGUGGCGAAGGCGGCCUUCUGGACUGACACUGACACUGAGGUGCGAAAGCGUGGGUAGCAAACAGGAUUAGAUACCCUUGUAGUC